GAUGAACGCUGGCGGCGUGCCUAAUACAUGCAAGUCGAGCGAACAGACGAGGAGCUUGCUCCUCUGACGUUAGCGGCGGACGGGUGAGUAACACGUGGAUAACCUACCUAUAAGACUGGGAUAACUUCGGGAAACCGGAGCUAAUACCGGAUAAUAUCUUGAACCGCAUGGUUCAAUAGUGAAAGACGGUUUUGCUGUCACUUAUAGAUGGAUCCGCGCCGCAUUAGCUAGUUGGUAAGGUAACGGCAUACCAAGGCAACGAUGCGUAGCCGACCUGAGAGGGUGAUAGGCGACACUGGAAGUGAGACACGGUCCAGACGCCUACGGGAGGCAGCAGUAGGGAAUCUUCCGCAAAGGGCGAAAGCUUGACGGAGCAACGCCGCGUGAGUGAUGAAGGUCUUCGGAUCGGAAAACUCUGUUAUUAGGGAAGAACAAAUGUGUAAGUAACUAUGCACGUCUUGACGGUACCUAAUCAGAAAGCCACGGCUAACUACGUG
Molecule: ribosomal RNA, 497 nt
Filed under: uncultured bacterium
Lineage: Bacteria
Description: partial 16S ribosomal RNA
Rfam family: Bacterial small subunit ribosomal RNA
Source: RNAcentral